CUCUGUCUAGGUUUACGUAAUUUCUUAUGUUGUUGGAACGUUCCUUCAUUUCUCAGUUGCAGUGAUCAUUGAUCCAAUAUGAAGGUAUAGCAUGUCAGUAUGCUGAGCGGACAUCCCAUCAUAGAUAAACCAUUACACUCUUAGUAUGUGGAAUAUGCAGGUUAAGCUGCAGUUCCAGACAAAAACAGGAACUAAGGCUCAGAACUGCCGCCGAUAAACACAUCAGGAGGAG
Pelobates cultripes (western spadefoot toad) is the source of this 232-nucleotide non-coding RNA. Lineage: Eukaryota; Metazoa; Chordata; Amphibia; Anura; Pelobatidae. The record is from the annotation of a GenBank genome assembly.